RNAcentral lists this ribosomal RNA (352 nucleotides) under uncultured Prochlorococcus sp. RNAcentral's name for it is "bacterial SSU rRNA". It matches the Rfam family "Bacterial small subunit ribosomal RNA", at positions 117 to 503 of the family's 1533-position model. The record is from RNAcentral. Lineage: Bacteria; Bacillati; Cyanobacteriota; Cyanophyceae; Synechococcales; Prochlorococcaceae.
GUGAGAAUCUGCCCUCAGGAGGGGGAUAACGGUUGGAAACGACCGCUAAUACCCCAUAUGCCUAUUGGUGAAAUGAAUUUCGCCUGAGGAUGAGCUCGCGUCUGAUUAGCUAGUUGGUGAGGUAAUGGCUCACCAAGGCUUCGAUCAGUAGCUGGUCUGAGAGGAUGAUCAGCCACACUGGGACUGAGACACGGCCCAGACUCCUACGGGAGGCAGCAGUGGGGAAUUUUCCGCAAUGGGCGAAAGCCUGACGGAGCAACGCCGCGUGAGGGACGAAGGCCUCUGGGCUGUAAACCUCUUUUCUCAAGGAAGAAGAUAUGACGGUACUUGAGGAAUAAGCCACGGCUAAUUC